Molecule: long non-coding RNA, 413 nt
Filed under: Pan troglodytes (chimpanzee)
Lineage: Eukaryota; Metazoa; Chordata; Mammalia; Primates; Hominidae
Description: long non-coding RNA NONPTRT012748
Source: RNAcentral
AGAAGGGAUUUGUGCUCUCCUCCUGGUUGCUAUGAUGAGACAGAUGUGGAACAUUUCAUUUUCCUGGACUGUGUAGACUUCAGCUGUCAUCUCUACUGAGGAGGUGGGACCCAAGGUGCUAGGUUCCCACCUCAGCAGAACCUCCACCCACCUUUCAGCCCUGAAGCCAUCAUGUGACUCGUACUAGGAAAGUCCACCUGUGAUGAUGAUGACCAGUGAGGGCUAAACACCAGGGGUCUCCCAAAUGUUCUCAGCCAUAUACGAAUUUCAGGCUCUACACUGGACCUGGAUGAAGAGGGGUGAUGGAGCCCCAAUAAUAACCACAGUUGAUUUUUCCACACCCCAUUGAUCAGAUUAAAUAUAAUUUAGAAAAAUAACCAAUGUGGCAUUUUUUAAAAUCUGAGAUGUAAAAU